This 389-nucleotide ribosomal RNA is filed under the name uncultured bacterium. RNAcentral describes it as "bacterial SSU rRNA". It matches the Rfam family "Bacterial small subunit ribosomal RNA", at positions 355 to 761 of the family's 1533-position model. The record is from RNAcentral.
UGGGGAAUUUUGGGCAAUGGGCGAAAGCCUGACCCAGCAACGCCGCGUGAAGGAUGAAGUAUUUCGGUAUGUAAACUUCGAAAGAAUAGGAAGAAUAAAUGACGGUACUAUUUAUAAGGUCCGGCUAACUACGUGCCAGCAGCCGCGGUAAUACGUAGGGACCAAGCGUUGUUCGGAUUUACUGGGCGUAAAGGGCGCGUAGGCGGCAAUUCAAGUCAUCUGUGAAAUCUCCGGGCUUAACUCGGAACGGUCAGAUGAUACUGCUUUGCUAGAGUGCAGAAGGGGCAAUCGGAAUUCUUGGUGUAGCGGUGAAAUGCGUAGAUAUCAAGAGGAACACCUGAGGUGAAGACGGGUUGCUGGGCUGACACUGACGCUGAGGCGCGAAAGCC